GAUGAACGCUGGCGGCGUGCCUAAUACAUGCAAGUCGAGCGAACAGACGAGGAGCUUGCUCCUCUGACGUUAGCGGCGGACGGGUGAGUAACACGUGGAUAACCUACCUAUAAGACUGGGAUAACUUCGGGAAACCGGAGCUAAUACCGGAUAAUAUAUUUAACCGCAUGGUUCAAUAGUGAAAGACGGUUUUGCUGUCACUUAUAGAUGGAUCCGCGCCGCAUUAGCUAGUUGGUAAGGUAACGGCUUACCAAGGCAACGAUGCGUAGCCGACCUGAGAGGGUGAUCGGCCACACGAGAACUGAGACACGGUCCAGACUCCGACGGGAGGCAGCAGUAGGGAAUCUUCCGCAAAGGGCGAAAGCUUGACGGAGCAACGCCGCGUGAGUGAUGAAGGUCUUCGGAUCGUAAAACUCUGUUAUUAGGGAAGAACAAAUGUGUAAGUAACUAUGCACGUCUUGACGGUACCUAAUCAGAAAGCCACGGCUAACUACGUG
Molecule: ribosomal RNA, 497 nt
Filed under: uncultured bacterium
Lineage: Bacteria
Description: partial 16S ribosomal RNA
Rfam family: Bacterial small subunit ribosomal RNA
Source: RNAcentral